Molecule: ribosomal RNA, 504 nt
Filed under: uncultured bacterium
Lineage: Bacteria
Description: bacterial SSU rRNA
Rfam family: Bacterial small subunit ribosomal RNA
Source: RNAcentral
UGAGUAAUGUCUGGGAAACUGCCUGAUGGAGGGGGAUAACUACUGGAAACGGUAGCUAAUACCGCAUAACGUCUUCGGACCAAAGUGGGGGACCUUCGGGCCUCAUGCCAUCAGAUGUGCCCAGAUGGGAUUAGCUAGUAGGUGGGGUAACGGCUCACCUAGGCGACGAUCCCUAGCUGGUCUGAGAGGAUGACCAGCCACACUGGAACUGAGACACGGUCCAGACUCCUACGGGAGGCAGCAGUGGGGAAUAUUGCACAAUGGGCGCAAGCCUGAUGCAGCCAUGCCGCGUGUAUGAAGAAGGCCUUCGGGUUGUAAAGUACUUUCAGCGAGGAGGAAGGCAUUAAGGUUAAUAACCUUAGUGAUUGACGUUACUCGCAGAAGAAGCACCGGCUAACUCCGUGCCAGCAGCCGCGGUAAUACGGAGGGUGCAAGCGUUAAUCGGAAUUACUGGGCGUAAAGCGCACGCAGGCGGUCUGUCAAGUCGGAUGUGAAAUCCCCGGG